RNAcentral lists this ribosomal RNA (391 nucleotides) under uncultured bacterium. RNAcentral's name for it is "bacterial SSU rRNA". It matches the Rfam family "Bacterial small subunit ribosomal RNA", at positions 28 to 420 of the family's 1533-position model. The record is from RNAcentral.
GACGAACGCUGGCGGCGUGCUUAACACAUGCAAGUCGAGCGGUAAGGCCCUUUCGGGGGUACGACGAGCGGCGAACGGGUGAGUAACACGUGGGUGACCUGCCCUCAGCUCUGGGAUAAGCCUGGGAAACCGGGUCUAAUACUGGAUAUGACUCCAUGACGCAUGUUGUGGGGUGGAAAGCCUUGUGCGGCUGAGGAUGGGCCCGCGGCCUAUCAGCUUGUUGGUGGGGGAUGGCCUACCAAGGCGACGACGGGUAGCCGGCCUGAGAGGGCGACCGGCCACACUGGGACUGAGACACGGCCCAGACUCCUACGGGAGGCAGCAGUGGGGAAUCUUGCGCAAUGGGCGAAAGCCUGACGCAGCGACGCCGCGUGAGGGAUGACGGCCUGGU